CUAGUCUCGGCCUGUCGUUGCACAUCAACGACACAGCUUUGACAGGCUGUGAC
Pseudomonas entomophila is the source of this 53-nucleotide non-coding RNA. Lineage: Bacteria; Pseudomonadati; Pseudomonadota; Gammaproteobacteria; Pseudomonadales; Pseudomonadaceae. The record is from Rfam.